GUAGGUGAACCUGCGGAAGGAUCAUUAACACGUAUCCAACGUUAAACAACCCUGUGAACUUUCAGACGCUCUUGUAGCCAGGCGGAACAGCAAUCCCGGUAAAUCAACGACGCCGGAAAGAGUUUUGAUUCGGGACCUCUGUCCAAAAGGUUACAAUAGAAGCUAGGAGCAGUGGCAUGGUUUCCUGAAGCAGUGCCGAAGGAUGCACGGUUGCUAGAGGUCGAUCACCGGCCGGCAGACAUGUCACAGGGCUAUAUGCCCCUUAAUCACCCCUUGCCUAAUCACGCCCCGCGGAAACGCCGGGCACUAAAAACCGAACAACUGUUAACAAUGGAUAUCUUGGUUCUC
Molecule: unclassified non-coding RNA, 348 nt
Filed under: rhizosphere metagenome
Description: partial ribosomal RNA internal transcribed spacer region
Source: RNAcentral